This 74-nucleotide transfer RNA is filed under the name Caldithrix abyssi. RNAcentral describes it as "tRNA-Met". It matches the Rfam family "tRNA". From Rfam's summary of the family: Transfer RNA (tRNA) molecules are approximately 80 nucleotides in length. Their secondary structure includes four short double-helical elements and three loops (D, anti-codon, and T loops). Lineage: Bacteria; Pseudomonadati; Calditrichota; Calditrichia; Calditrichales; Calditrichaceae. The record is from RNAcentral. RNAcentral also lists the same sequence under 3 other names.
GGCGGUGUAGCUCAGUCGGCUAGAGCAGAGGAAUCAUAAUCCUCGUGUCCGGGGUUCGAGUCCCUGCACCGCUA